AACGCUUCGGCUCAAUCCAUUUUUUAGAGAUAGAGAGAGAGAGAGAGUUCUAGGAUUUCUGGUGGAGAAAGAACAUUUUUAGAGAGAGAGAGAGAGUGAGUUGGGGUUCUAGAGAGAGAGAGAGAAUUGGGGUUCUAGAGAGAGAGAGUAUUGGGGUUCUAGACAGUGUGUUGGGGAGAGAGACUGUGUUUUCCCAGAGUAUUGCCUAGUAGAGAGCAGUAGCAAACCAGCAAUUGUAGAGAGAGAAAGAGUGUAUUUGGCCUUUAAGAAAAGAGUGGGGUAGAGAGAGAGUAUUGAGUCUUUAAGAAAGAGUUGGGUCCUUCAGAGACAAUCUUAUGUAUUCGGGGAGAGAGAGAGGGAAGUGGGUAUUUUAGAGAGAGAACAUUUGGGUUUUUUGAAAAGAAAAAAAAGAAUAAAUUGGAUAUUUUCCAUUGUUGGGCUUGUGGAGAUGAUGCAACUCCUAUUUGCUCUAGCCUUCUCGGCCGCACCCCUCACUCUGUACGUGCCCCCCGUCAGAAGCUUCACCCUCUUUGUAGAGACCAUAGAAUCUUUCAUACGCAAUAUGUUGACUCAUACUCUCAGGGCUUAUCCUCGCAUACGCGUUGGGUGCACAAGAGUCAUACGAUCCUUGAUCCGAAGGUAGAUAAAUACCCUCACCAUUUUUCACCUUUUUGGGUUUUUUUUUUUUCCUGUAAUAUGUCUCUGUCAUAGAUCUAAGCUGUAUAGGCUUGGUUAUAGUUCUUGGAUCUUGGGUUUGAAGAGUGUAUUGUAUUUGUACCAUACUGCCUUGGUGUAGGUUUUUGUGAGAAUAAGGGGAAUUAAUUGAAUGGGGUUCUCUUUCAAUAAAUUGGAUCUUGGGUCUAUAUAAUUGAUAAUGAAUUGUAGUGUAACAUUUCCGAGAGAUUGUAAAUGUAAUGAAUCGGGAUUCAGAAAAUAAAAGUGAAACUUUGUAGAGGCCUAUUAAGCAUUUCUUUAAUUUCAGCCC
RNAcentral lists this long non-coding RNA (985 nucleotides) under Amborella trichopoda. RNAcentral's name for it is "long non-coding RNA (ATRI_LNC003895)". The record is from RNAcentral. Lineage: Eukaryota; Viridiplantae; Streptophyta; Magnoliopsida; Amborellales; Amborellaceae.